This is a long non-coding RNA of Heterocephalus glaber (naked mole-rat), 1432 nucleotides long. The record is from Ensembl. Lineage: Eukaryota; Metazoa; Chordata; Mammalia; Rodentia; Bathyergidae.
UGUCAUCCUGGAACCCCCAGUAAAAGGGUGCACUAUGGGGCUCUGGAGCCUAUUGCUGGGUCCUCCAGUCCCACAGGCUGACCUGCAGAAUUCGUGAGUCCAAGCACACCUCAACCAAGUUCUGGCAAUUCUGUGGGUCCUCUCCCAACCUAACAUAUAUCUUCCCUCUACUGAAAGGUCAGAUGGAGCACACCCUGUGCAAUCAUGCCAGCUGACCCUCACACAGAUGAUUGAACCACUUGGAAGCUUUUUGCCACAUUCCUGGUGAGAUUCCAAAUACCACUGGGACCAAAGGCCUCAACAUUUCCUCCUCCAUGCCAGUCAGCUUGACUCAAGCCUUAUCAAGAACCCACAAUUCCUGAGCACCACUCCCAGUGCCAAGGAGCAGAGCCGCCCGCAGCACUGAGGAGGAGCCCUUCUGGGUCACCAUACCACCACCCCCAGUGUUGAGGAGCAGAGCUGCUUCCAGCCCUGAGGAGGAGAUGUUCAGGCCACCAUACCACCACCCCCAGUGCUGAGGAGGUGAGCCACCUGGGUGUCAGCAUCACAAAAUUGCCCUCCCCGCUGAAAUGAGAAGACAUGUAAACAAAUGUCAAAACCAGACUUCCAGAUCAACUAAAGCAACCCCAAAGGGAAAUGAGAUGGAACAAUCUGAUACUCAACCACCUGGACUCCCCGAACUGGCAAUGAAAGAGGACCUGGAAAAAAUGAAAACAGAAAUAAUUUCUCUGAUAACAGCAGAGACUGAGCCCAUAGUGCAAGACAUGAUUAAUAAAUCUAGCAUGGACACAGAUAAAAAAAAUGAGGAUCUGAGAAACAUCAUGGCAUCCCAACAUAGGAAACAAAUGGAAUCCAUAAAACAGAUGCAAACAGAUUUCCAGGAGGUUAAAAACUCCACUGAAGUCUAUGCAGCAAAAUGAGCCAAUGUGAGGACAGAAUUUCAGAUACAGAAGAUAAGAUUGCAAUUACUGACCACGAAGAGAAAAAUUGCUUUAAAAAUGCAAGGAAUCAUGAGAAAGCAAUCCAGCAGCUACUAGACGAUGCAAAGAAGAAUAACGUAAGACUUAUUGGAGUCAAUGAAGAAACAGGAGAGAGUGCAGAUGACAUAAAAUAACAGUUCACAGAAGUAAUGGCAGAAAACUUCCCAAGCAGGGAAACAGAACUUGACAUACAGAUAAGUGAGGCAUAUAGGACUCCAACUAAACUUGAUCAAAAAAAAAUCUACACAUAAACAUAUAAUAGCUAAAUUUCCAGAAAGCCAACAGAAGAACAAAAUUCUACAGAGAAAAGAAGCAAAUCACAUACAAAGGAAAGACCAUCAGAAUCACAGCAGACUUCUCAGUGCACACCCUCAAGGCAAGAAGACCUUGGAGUGAUGCAUUUUGAGCCCUAAAGGAAAACAGCCUCCAACCCAGAUUGAUGUACCCUGUAA